RNAcentral lists this ribosomal RNA (793 nucleotides) under Glomus sp. M01. Its description in RNAcentral is "SSU rRNA". It matches the Rfam family "Eukaryotic small subunit ribosomal RNA", at positions 316 to 1111 of the family's 1831-position model. Lineage: Eukaryota; Fungi; Glomeromycota; Glomeromycetes; Glomerales; Glomeraceae. The record is from RNAcentral.
UAACUUUCGAUGGUAGGAUAGAGGCCUACCAUGGUGGUAACGGGUAACGGGGUGUUAGGGCACGACACCGGAGAGGGAGCCUGAGAAACGGCUACCACAUCCAAGGAUGGCAGCAGGCGCGCAAAUUACCCAAUCCCGACACGGGGAGGUAGUGACAAUAAAUAACAAUACGGGGUUCUUUAGGAUCUCGUAAUUGGAAUGAGUACAAUUUAAAUCUCUUAACGAGGAACAAUUGGAGGGCAAGUCUGGUGCCAGCAGCCGCGGUAAUUCCAGCUCCAAUAGCGUAUAUUAAAGUUGUUGCAGUUAAAAAGCUCGUAGUUGAAUUUCGGGAUCAAUUUAUUGGUCGUGCUAUUGUACGUACUGGUAUUAUUGAUUCCUACCUUCUGACGAACCAUGAUGUCAUUAAUUUGGUGUCUUGGGGAAUCAGGACCGUUACUUUGAAAAAAUUAGAGUGUUUAAAGCAGGCUCACGCUUGAAUACAUUAGCAUGGAAUAACGAAAUAGGACGUUUGAUUCUAUUUUGUUGGUUUCUAGGAUCGACGUAAUGAUUAAUAGGGAUAGUUGGGGGCAUUAGUAUUCAAUUGUCAGAGGUGAAAUUCUUGGAUUUAUUGAAGACUAACUACUGCGAAAGCAUUUGCCAAGGAUGUUUUCAUUAAUCAAGAACGAAAGUUAGGGGAUCGAAGACGAUCAGAUACCGUCGUAGUCUUAACCAUAAACUAUGCCGACUAGGGAUCGGAUGAUGUUAAUUUUUUAAUGACUCAUUCGGCGCCUUACGGGAAACCAAAGUGUUUGGA